CUACGGAGGGUGCAAGCGUUAUUCGGAAUCACUGGGCGUAAAGGACGCGUAGGCGGGUUGGCAAGUCAGAUGUGAAAUCCUACAGCUUAACUGUAGAACUGCAUUUGAAACUGCUAACCUAGAGUAUGGGAGGGGGAGAUGGAAUUAGUGGUGUAGGGGUAAAAUCCGUAGAUAUCACUAGGAAUACCGAAAGCGAAGGCGAUCUCCUGGAACGUAACUGACGCUAAGGCGUGAAAGCGUGGGGAGCAAACAGGAUUAGAAACCCUAGUAGUCC
Molecule: ribosomal RNA, 274 nt
Filed under: uncultured bacterium
Lineage: Bacteria
Description: partial 16S ribosomal RNA
Rfam family: Bacterial small subunit ribosomal RNA
Source: RNAcentral